UGGGGAAUAUUGGACAAUGGGGGCAACCCUGAUCCAGCCAUGCCGCGUGAGUGAUGAAGGCCUUAGGGUUGUAAAGCUCUUUCGCCGGUGACGAUGAUGACGGUAACCGGAGAAGAAGCCCCGGCUAACUUCGUGCCAGCAGCCGCGGUAAUACGAAGGGGGCUAGCGUUGUUCGGAAUGACUGGGCGUAAAGCGCACGUAGGCGGCCUGUUUAGUCAGGGGUGAAAUCCCGGGGCUUAACCCCGGAACUGCCUUUGAUACUGGCAGGCUUGAGCCCGGAAGAGGGUGGCGGAAUACCCAGUGUAGAGGUGAAAUUCGUAGAUAUUGGGUAGAACACCGGUGGCGAAGGCGGCCACCUGGUCCGGUGCUGACGCUGAGGUGCGAAAGCGUGGGGAGCAAACAGG
Molecule: ribosomal RNA, 404 nt
Filed under: uncultured prokaryote
Also listed under: 1 other name
Description: bacterial SSU rRNA
Rfam family: Bacterial small subunit ribosomal RNA
Source: RNAcentral